AACCCAUACAUCAGACAUUUUCGCAAUAAUUCUUUAAAUCUUUCCCAAGCUUCGUACAGUGUUUCAUCCUUUUAUUUUUGAAAAGACGUGAUGUCAUUUCUAAGCUU
Molecule: non-coding RNA, 107 nt
Organism: Gossypium hirsutum (cotton)
Lineage: Eukaryota; Viridiplantae; Streptophyta; Magnoliopsida; Malvales; Malvaceae
Source: Rfam